AAUAGAUACCCCGGUAGUCCACGCCGUAAACGAUGAGUGCUAAGUGUUAGAGGGUUUCCGCCCUUUAGUGCUGCAGCUAACGCAUUAAGCACUCCGCCUGGGGAGUACGGCCGCAAGGCUGAAACUCAAAGGAAUUGACGGGGGCCCGCACAAGCGGUGGAGCAUGUGGUUUAAUUCGAAGCAACGCGAAGAACCUUACCAGGUCUUGACAUCCUCUGCCAACCCUAGAGAUAGGGUGUUCCCCUUCGGGGGACAGAGUGACAGGUGGUGCAUGGUUGUCGUCAGCUCGUGUCGUGAGAUGUUGGGUUAAGUCCCGCAACAAGCGCAACCCUUGAUCUUAGUUGCCAGCAUUUAGUUGGGCACUCUAAGGUGACUGCCGGUGACAAACCGGAGGAAGGUGGGGAUGACGUCAAAUCAUCAUGCCCCUUAUGACCUGGGCUACACACGUGCUACAAUGGAUGGUACAAAGAGCUGCGAACCCGCGAGGGUAAGCCAAUCUCAUAAAGCCAUUCUCAGUUCGGAUUGUAGG
Molecule: ribosomal RNA, 529 nt
Filed under: uncultured bacterium
Lineage: Bacteria
Description: bacterial SSU rRNA
Rfam family: Bacterial small subunit ribosomal RNA
Source: RNAcentral